Molecule: non-coding RNA, 839 nt
Filed under: Fulvia mutica
Lineage: Eukaryota; Metazoa; Mollusca; Bivalvia; Cardiida; Cardiidae
Source: RNAcentral
AGAAAGUCUGGUGUGGGUUUAUUGUUUUAGCGAUGAAGAAUUAUUGGACAGUAUGACUUUAGGGAGAGUGUUUUUUAGUGUAUAACUAAGAUUAAUUCUUAUUAACUAGGGUAGAUUAGUUCUAGCCAGUACACUGUAAUAAUAAAGCAGCUAUAGUUCAUAACAUUGGUAAUAAAAGUUUUCUUUGUGCCAGUAUAUCUCUUAAAAGGCGGGUAAGAGUGGUGCCAGCACCAGCGGUUAAACCAGCGCCUUGAGUUAAGAUAAAUGUAGAAAAAAAUCUUGUUAAUUUUAUAGUUCUAGUUAAUAUAUUUCGUAGCGAUAAUAUGAAAGUCUUAAAUUGUUAAAAGCGAGUUAUUUUGAAACCUGGCAAAGAAGACGGGGCAAAUCCCCUUAUUUAUGGCGAAAAAGUUUCUAUGGUGACGGGUGACAAAAAUAAGUUACUAAAGUCAACAGACUUGGCGGUAUUACGAAUUCGGUCAGGGGAGUUUGGCGGUUAAAUCGAUGGCCCUCGAAAACCUUACCUUAAUUAUUUUUUCUAUACAGCCGUUGAAAGUGUGUUUUAAAGGAGCAAUGCGGGGUUACCUAAGUGGGGAAUAAUUCAGGUAAAUGUGGAGAUAGUAUUAAGGGCUUAGCUGAGCUACAGUUUUAAAAUAAAUACGGGUUUCUUUUUGAAAUAAAAGAAGGAGGCUUAGAACCCUCCAAAAGGUGGACUUGACAGUAAAAAUGGGUAGAGGAUCUUUUUGAAUUGUGAAUCGUAGUGCGUACAAACCGCCCAACACUCUUGUAUCUGAAAGUCUAGAUAAGUUGUAACAUGGAAACUGUACCCUAAGGUGUAGUUA